Molecule: ribosomal RNA, 374 nt
Filed under: uncultured organism
Description: partial 16S ribosomal RNA
Rfam family: Bacterial small subunit ribosomal RNA
Source: RNAcentral
GUAGGUGGCAAGCGUUGUCCGGAAUUAUUGGGGCGUAAAGCGCGCGCAGGCGGUUCUUUAAGUCUGAUGUGAAAGCCCACGGGCUCAACCGUGGAGGGUCAUUGGAAACUGGAGAACUUGAGUACAGAAGAGGAAAGCGGAAUUCCACGUGUAGCGGUGAAAUGCGUAGAGAUGUGGAGGAACACCAGUGGCGAAGGCGGCUUUCUGGUCUGUAACUGACGCUGAGGCGCGAAAGCGUGGGGAGCAAACAGGAUUAGAUACCCUGGUAGUCCACGCCGUAAACGAUGAGUGCAAAGUGUUAGGGGGUUUCCGCCCCUUAGUGCUGCAGCUAACGCAUUAAGCACUCCGCCUGGGGAGUACGGCCGCAAAGGCUG